Molecule: long non-coding RNA, 201 nt
Organism: Carya illinoinensis
Lineage: Eukaryota; Viridiplantae; Streptophyta; Magnoliopsida; Fagales; Juglandaceae
Exons: 2
Source: RefSeq, a predicted model, not a curated record
UGCUGCUGCCAUCGCUUAUGGUCUAGACAAGAAGGGUGGUGAAAAGAACAUCCUUGUGUUUGACCUUGGUGGUGGGACAUUUGAUGUCAGUAUCUUGACAAUUGAUAAUGGUGUUUUUGAGGUUGUUGCCACUAAUGGAGACACUCAUCUUGGAGGUGAGGAUUUUGAUCAUAGAAUUAUGGACUAUUUCAUCAAAUUGAU